RNAcentral lists this long non-coding RNA (2703 nucleotides) under Mytilus galloprovincialis (Mediterranean mussel). Lineage: Eukaryota; Metazoa; Mollusca; Bivalvia; Mytilida; Mytilidae. The record is from RNAcentral.
CACGUAACCUGAUCUAAAUCUGGAGAAAAACAGAAAUUGGAAAAGAAAAAAAGAAUGAAGGCAUCAAAAUGGAAGAUCACGGAUUAAUUCUUAUAUGGAAUAUAUUAGUGUGUAUAAGUACAGGUUUGUAUUUAUAUUUACGUGCAUGUAUGUGUUUUAUCAUAGCGUUGUCUUCUUUAACAUGUUUAAACAAAUAAAUCUAAACCUUGCAUGAACUAAAGAUAACAUUACGAAAUUGUGUUUUACAAAAAGAAUACGUAACUAAAUAUUCAAUUAAGAAAUAAAAAUAUAUGAAAUGAUUGCCAAUAAAACAUCUCUCUACCAGCGACUCAAAUUAGAAGUAGGAGUAAGCAACUAUGGGUCACAAAAACGGCCUUCGGCAUUCAGCGAAACACAUGCAUAAAAGGUCGCGAGUCGACAUGGCACAUGUAAAACAAUUUAGAAAAUAAAUACCAACUAGAUUAAUAUUCCACAAAACACAAAUAUGAUUUGCCAGUGUCUGAUUCAGGUUGGUGCAAAGAGGAUGCACACCCUCUUUGAUAGGAACUAUUUAUUGGCUCAUAAAAUUGUCCUUUGUUUCUUCAUUCUUCAUUUCAAAUCCAUGAUUCACGCCGGUAUACAGCGACAAACGACCAACGCUCCAAUGUCUAUAUACACUAUAUUUAUAUAGACAAUUUUAAUGUUUAUGUUGUAAUAUCAACAACAUUUAAACAAUGUAAAUCAUAACUUUUAUGCCAAUAAAACCAAUCUUAAAACGUACAAAGUCAUUCAUAUGUAUAUGAUUAUAACUUUAAUAAAACUUUUUAUUGUAGCGUUUACUUCUAACAUAUCAAGUACGUUCGCACCACCCGCUGUUGAAGGUAAUGGUUCUUUUCCUAUCUUAAUCCUUAUUUAACAUGUUACCUUUAAAAAAAACACAUUGAUGAUUUAAUUGCUCACAAAGUUGUUAUGUCAGUUUCCUCUUCAGUGAUCUGAUAUUCAAAAGGCGAAGACCAUAUACAACAAAAUGUAUAUUUAAAAGAGAGACUUUAAAUUUAUUGAUUGAAAGCUGCUUACGUUCCAGUGGCAAACAUUCAAUGCACAUUCAGGACAAAUUUUAGUUUAAAAUGGCUAUACGUGAUUUAUAGUAAACUAAUUCGUUUAACCAAAACAGGAAUUGUUAAGUUUACAAGGAAAUACCAAAGAUGCAUCUACACACUCAGAAUAAAAAAGAAAGAGAUGUGGUAUGAUUGACAACUGACCAGUCUCCUAAUCCUAAAUGCUGCAUUCUUGGCAGAGAAUCUCAAAACCGCGAGGCAGUUUUAAAUUACGUAUUUCUAAAUUUAUAAAAGAAAAUAUAAAUUCACAUCAGAUAUAUCAAAAUGCUGUCGUGGUCAUUCUCGGUUUGAUGGAUUAUUAUCCCAACAUCCAUUUGCUAUUCGUGAUCUCUUGUUAGCUGACUUGGUUUGUUUAAAUAUAUAUAAAAGCUCGUAACCCUCUUGAAGAUCAUAAAAACACACAUUUAGCAAAAUCUUUUCACAGAUAUAUAUUUGAUAAUAUACUCACGUUUCGUUUAUUUCAUUUCACAUAUAUAUCUGGAUACCAUCUAGAUGUUUUAAAGAAUGUACCGUUUGUCUAUUUCAAGGUUCAAGUUCUGAUGCAUCGUGGGUAAUUAUUGUUAUCCUUGCUGUAUUUCUAUUGGCGAUCAUCAUUCCAACAGGAAUUUGCCUUGGAAGGUAAGAUAACUCAGUAUUUAAGCAAUUUAUUGAGGUACCUAUAAUAAGAAACAUGAAUACAUACAUAGUUGCUUAUAUAAACUAAUGUAAAAUUUCACUUGUGUAUAUUGUAGACCGUACAUUUUGUACCGUAUGCUAUAAUGGUUGAAAAUGAAUAUAUUAUGAAAAUAACUCUACAAAUUGUAUACGUUCCAGGCGCUCUUCCGAGUGUGGUUCCCGUCACCAGGAACUUUAAAGCAAGGAAAGAUAAACUGUUUUGCUUUAAUUCAGAUAUUGCAAGACAAUUUCUAAUACAUGUACGUUAAUUAGAAAACUAAUUUUAAUUGUGUGUUUUUGUUUCCCCUUUGUCUAGGAGAAGAUGGAGAGCUGGAAAGAAUAUGACGACAACAACAAAUACGUCAAAAUGAAGAAAAAAUAUCUUUCAUACUUUCAUCAAGAUUAUCUAUAGAAGAUAUACAUGAAUUUUCAACUAUUUUGGGAUGGUGGUAGAAAAUUGAAGUACAAACAAAUGAUAAUUUCAUCAGGAUUUUUAUGUCGAAAAUAUACGUGAAAUUUUAAUUUAGUAGUUAGAUGGUGGAGGAUAAAUGUCCUUUUUUUUAUCUUGUUGUUUCAUUCAAGUACAAUGGAAGAUAUUUUACAAACAAAAUCUGGAUCAACAACAACUAUUUGACUCAAAGAUAGAACCAUGUUAUAAGUUUGGUUUUAUGACAGUUUAAAAUGAGCCAUACAAACUUGACUUGAAGAUCCGUAAAAGAGUACUUAAUGAAUACAUGUGUGUACUAUGUCAAUUGUAUGGGUAUAUUCUUCCCACAAAUACGUGGCAACACAAUUUGGGAAAACUCAAAUGACUAGUAUUUGAAAAUUGGCGAUACACUCUCUUAGUGCUUGUUUGAUGUAUGUGUAUGUACUUUGCAAAUAAAAAUAUUGAGCACGGUUUAACGGUAACAUGUCUUUUGUGUUGCUUUUUUUAAAGAUUAAAUGAAAAUAU